UGGAAUAAGACUUUGCUAGCUAGGACCAA
This 29-nucleotide non-coding RNA is filed under the name Mus musculus (house mouse). The record is from RNAcentral. Lineage: Eukaryota; Metazoa; Chordata; Mammalia; Rodentia; Muridae.